RNAcentral lists this ribosomal RNA (468 nucleotides) under uncultured bacterium. RNAcentral describes it as "partial 16S ribosomal RNA". It matches the Rfam family "Bacterial small subunit ribosomal RNA", at positions 28 to 507 of the family's 1533-position model. The record is from RNAcentral.
GACGAACGCUGGCGGCGUGCUUAACACAUGCAAGUCGAACGGAAAGGCCCUGCUUUUGUGGGGUGCUCGAGUGGCGAACGGGUGAGUAACACGUGAGUAACCUGCCCUUGACUUUGGGAUAACUUCAGGAAACUGGGGCUAAUACCGGAUAGGAGCUCCUGCUGCAUGGUGGGGGUUGGAAAGUUUCGGCGGUUGGGGGUGGACUCGCGGCUUAUCAGCUUGUUGGUGGGGUAGUGGCUUACCAAGGCUUUGACGGGUAGCCGGCCUGAUAGGGUGACCGGCCACAUUGGGACUGAGAUACGGCCCAGACUCCUACGGGAGGCAGCAGUGGGGAAUAUUGCACAAUGGGCGGAAGCCUGAUGCAGCAACGCCGCGUGCGGGAUGACGGCCUUCGGGUUGUAAACCGCUUUCGCCUGUGACGAAGCGUGAGUGACGGUAAUGGGUAAAGAAGCACCGGCUAACUACGUG